Molecule: non-coding RNA, 28 nt
Filed under: Mus musculus (house mouse)
Lineage: Eukaryota; Metazoa; Chordata; Mammalia; Rodentia; Muridae
Source: RNAcentral
UCCAAUAGGCUUUUGUUACCUGUCCCAA